GCGGAGCCAGGGAGGGCGGCAGGAAGGUCAGGAGCAGGAAGUGAUUGCCUGGGUGAGGACCAACUCCGAGACACAGAGCUGAAAGUGCCCUCCAGUGCCUGGGAGGAAAUGAGGAAAUGUCCAGUCUCACACUCACUGCCAGUGUGAGAGUGAGAUCAGGAGAAAGAUUGGACUGAAGAUGUCUCUUACCGGUGAAGGUUAGGACGGCAGACACAACGCAGAGAAAGAAAUGAACUGAAACAUCUAUGCUUUGUUCUUUCCCCUGCUAAAUUCUCCAAACAGAUGUCAGGUUCUCCCCCUUUUGCUACAAGUUUCCUUGGAUAACCUUAAUUACCUGGAGGUGGUGGAACAUGGAAGAGCUGAAUCUUUCAUUGAUUCUCCAAGGCACGCUUUCUCAGGUUCUUACCACUCUGAGAUCUCCAUGCCCUGAACUCUGUCAGCCAGGCAGGCUGAAGAGAAACGAUUAAGCCUUUCAUGGGAGGUCCAAACAAGCUCUUUGAAUAUGUUUAAAAGAAAAAUUCUAAGAGAUGAGGAAGCCUCAUGAUGUGUAUAUGUCCACAUUUCUGCUUUCUUGUUCUUUCACUAAAUAACAGCUGGUCUCACACAGUUAGAGCUUGAGAGUCCAUGCAGUACAGUACGGCAGCCUUCCUGUCUGAUGUCUCCACAGCCAUCAAUAUGUUUCUCAUGUAUUUGUGGAAAAAUAUGCGAACCAUCUUGCC
Molecule: long non-coding RNA, 719 nt
Filed under: Heterocephalus glaber (naked mole-rat)
Lineage: Eukaryota; Metazoa; Chordata; Mammalia; Rodentia; Bathyergidae
Description: lncRNA (ENSHGLG00000042003.1)
Source: RNAcentral